GAGGUUCCUACCUACCUGAGGCCUUCCAAAGCGGCGGCCGGCAGGAGCAGCUGUACGGGAAUGAAUGUAUGUCACAGCAGAGGAGGGCUACGAAGAUGCUCGGCGCUGGAGCACCUCUCCUCUGAAGGCGGGCUGAGGGAGCUGGGCUCGAGGAGACCUCAUUCUUCUUCCAGCUCUUCAGGAGGAGCUCAUGAACGGGGGUUUGAUAGUCUGCACGUGUGAAGUGGCCCCGUCUCUUCAAGGAAAGGCAGCACCGGUACGUGAAGGCAAAUGAAACAAACUCGCUUGAGGACUGAGUCACCUGCUGCUGUUUCUUCAGCGGGAGUGACUACCGUGUUAAAGAAAGAAAGUGCACCAUCAGUACUUGAAACAAAACGCUCUUUUAUUGUCAGAGUAUUUCUGGAUUAGAUGUAUAGAACUCGGACUGCCACUUAGAAUUGGUGCUGUUUGGGAUGGCAGUGCUGUCUCAGUGCCUGCUAUAAGGGGAGAUCACACCUCUCAACUGUUGGCUCGUAAAGCAGAGCUGGGCUGCGUGAAGUUGGUGUGCAAAUGAAAGAAUGUCAUGCUGCAGCAUACCCCCCCUAAAAAAAA
Molecule: non-coding RNA, 591 nt
Organism: Phasianus colchicus (ring-necked pheasant)
Lineage: Eukaryota; Metazoa; Chordata; Aves; Galliformes; Phasianidae
Source: RefSeq, a predicted model, not a curated record